GGGUGCCCAAGCUAUACUCACCCCUGAGGCUGUUGGUCUCUGGCCAACUUUAACAAUGAUUCAGGUCUCACUGGACGCACAAGGUAUACGUCCUUUCAGAAAGAAUGCAGAGCAAUGGAAGAGUGGGUGGAUUCUUUAACAAAGAAAUUGCAAAAUUCCAGCAAAAUACAACAUUUUGGAAGGAAAAUCCCUUAGAGGCUCCCCUUUGGUGGCAUAGCAUCAUGGAAAUGAACCAAAGAAGAAAUGAAACAUUUAAAGAACAUCCUAAGUUUUAAAUUAGACCCAAAUGCCGCGACCUCAUCAAAUAAACACCCAAUCCACCAAAUUCUAGCCCCACCAGGAGGAGUUAAGGAAGGAACACUCUCUCAAAAUGGCACCCGGGGCCAGCCCUGUGAUGGGCGGACUCGGAUCACGUGACCCCAACUGCGUCUUCAAGACUGAUCUCUUGUGAGGCUCUUAAAGCGGCGCUCCCCAACCUUUCUAGCACCAGGGACUGGUUUGGAGGAAGGCAAAUUUUCCAGAUGGUGGGGGAUGGGGGUGGGGGUGGUUUCAGGAUGAUUCAAGGGCAUUUCAUUUAUUGUGCACUUUAUUUCUAUUAUUAUUACGUUGUAAUAUAUAAGGAAGUAAUUAUACCCCUCACCAUAAUGUAGAAUCAGUAGGAGCCCUGACCUUGUUUUCCUGCAAUGCGACGGCGGCGACAGAUCAUCAGGCAUCAGGUUCUCAUAAGGAGCGCACAGCCUAGAUCCCUUGCAUGCGCGGUUCACAGCAGAGUUCGUGCUCCUGUGAGAAUCUAACGCCGGCACUAAUCUGACCUGAGUGGCGCUCUGGUGGUCACGUGAGCAACGGGGAAGCGGCCGUAAGAACAGAUGAAGCUUCCCUAGCUCACCAGCCGCUCGUCUCCUGCUGUGUGGCCUGGUUCCUAACAGGCCAUGGACUGGUACCAGUCUGUGGCCCAGGGGCUGGGGACCCUUGCCCUAAAGGCUCCCGGGGCCGGCUGGGCCUGCUUGUGGAGAUCAAUACUGGCCAACACAUGAUGGGACAUUUUUCUUGACCCUCUCCAAUGUGAAUUACUUCCUUUUAUAUGGAAGAUUGUGAGCCCUUUGAAGAACUGAUGGAAGCUAUUGGACAGUAGAAGACACAGAGUGUACAUGCAGAAUAACUGUUGAUUGUGCUGGGAGUGCAACAUCUUGAGAUAAGAAGGAACUGCCUGGAACAGUCCAGGGUCUCUCCCUGUCCCUCCUAGAACAAGAUGUCCUGCAACACUUGUGCUCAGUGAGUCAACUUCCCCUAGGUAUAAAACCUAGAGUGGAGCAUCUUUUGGCGUCCCUCGGCUGUGGUGCUGCCUAGGGCAUGUGCAGAUGGACUCUACCCACCCUGGCCAGCUUGCCUGAGCCUUGUCGGGGAGCAGGUACCCUAGGCUCCUGCUGUCCCCUGAUGCCGAUCCGUGAAUAAUAAAGUUGCUUUUCUU
Molecule: long non-coding RNA, 1468 nt
Organism: Pan troglodytes (chimpanzee)
Lineage: Eukaryota; Metazoa; Chordata; Mammalia; Primates; Hominidae
Exons: 3
Source: RefSeq, a predicted model, not a curated record